AUUGAAUUUAGUGUGAUUAUAUUGCUGGGUUUCAAUUUAUCAUUUUGCUAUUGGUUUUUCUCUUUGUUUAAUCUAUUCUCUUUAUUUUCUCCCCCGACCCCACUUCUGCCUUUGGAUUGAAUAUUUUGCAUGAUUCCUGUGUUGUUAGAACUAUUUAAAUUGUGUGCUCAUAGGACUGUCAGUCAGGUGUAGGCAGAGGAGGAAACGCAGGAGAGGCUUGUCAAAGAACAAAGUUUUAUUAUACUUACAGGUCCUAGAGAGAGAGUCAUUGCACACCAAGGGAACCAAGGGGGCACAGACAGCAUCAAGGAGGCUGGCUCAACUGAGCUGUUAGGGAGCCAAGAGAAUGAAGACCUAUGGGGAAGUGCCUUUAUUGGCAGCCAGGAUGGAGUACACAAACAGCACAACAGAACUUGUGGCAGGGCCAGCCUAAUCACACUGGUAUAGCUGGCUGGGGGGCUCACAGCCUGUUUGUGGGGAUACCGAGGCAGCAGGAAAAUACAGUGCUUUAAAAUUUACAUUACAGUUUGCCCUGUGGUGCCUCAACAUCAUUACAAUACUAAUCGGAUGGAUAACACUUGCCACCUGGGUUGUGAUGUUAAAGGUGCCUGGGACAGCAUGACUUAGCCACUGAAGGCUCAAAUGGGUGCCAUAGCAGAUGAGUAGCUGCCUGAAGCAUGGGACAGUCUCUAUGGUCAUUGAGUCCAAGGAAAAUAAGCACCCUCGAUCCAGCCUUCCACCCUGUGCUCCUGGAGAAAAAUGGAUGCAGCUAUGAUCUAUCUUGCAAAGACUGUGUGUGAUGGCAGAGCUGCUGAGGUACCCCACAGGUAGCCUGAAACAGGAGUAUUGUGUUCCUUCAGAAAUGAAGGUGAACUGUAGUUGAGAGGCUAUUGAAAUGGGCCUGGAACAGAACACACUCUCCAAAUCUAUAAAAGCAAAAUAUUUGCUCAUUAUUGAUUUAAUAGAAUCAGUAAUUUUAAUAAUAUUAGCUGUUUUGUAUGGGGGCCCUAAUUGGUAGGAACACAUUGUUAAGGUUAUAGUAAUGCACCAUGAGGCACUUUACCCUUUUUUUAUCCCCCAGGUUUAACAGGCAAGAUUGGGAUAUCAAAUAGAGAAGCAGUUGGGAUAAUUGCCUUUUUAUUAAUUAGGUUUAACCCUUGAAGGCCCUGUUGUACCCUAUAUUGGACCAGAUUAACUAUUUUAACUGGGUAUUCAUGGGGUCCCAUUUUAUCAAGCCAGUUUGUAAAAGACCUACCUUAAUUUAUGAUUUAUGUUAGAGCAUCUAUGCUCCAAUAUGGGAUAUAUUAGGGCAAUGGGUAUUAUGACUUGGGAAAUAUAGGCAAGGCUACAUUUAAAGUGAGGCAUUCCUACUUUUUCUCUAUUUUAUAUAUAGUGACUUUCUUAAGAUAGGAGAGGCACAAUGCUUAAAUUUAAUGGGAUCCCCCGGUAUAACUGUAAUUUGAGCUCCAGUACUGAUUAUGUCCAUGGAGUUUUGUCAUUGGGUACAUUUUAGCUUCUUUUAAUUUCAACCUGAUAGACCUCCUUUAGCCUUUUUUUUUUUUUUUUUUUUUUUUUGCAGAGCAGGUCUAGUGAUAAUCAACUCCCUCCACUUUUGUUUAUCUGGGAAUAUGUGAAUUUCUCCAUAAUUUUUCAAGAACAUUUUGCUGAAUAUAAAAUUCUCUAUUGACAGCUUUUUUUCUUCACCCUUUACGUUUAUUGACCCACUUCCUUCUAGCUUCCAAGGUUUCUGAUGAGACACUGGCUAAUAGUCUUGAGGAUCCCCUAUAUGAGAGGAGUUGCUUCUCUCUUCCUAUUUUCAAGAUUAUCUGUCUUUGGCUUUUGACAUUUGAUUAUGUGUCUCAGUGUGGGUCUCUUCACAAUUCUCCUGCUUAGAGUUCAUUCAUGGUGAACUCUUGCUGGGUUGGCAAAUUCAUAUCUUUCAUCAAAUUUGGAGAUUUUUCAGCCAUUAUGUCUUCAAGUAUUUUUCUCUGCCCCUUUCUUUCUUUUCCCCUUCAGGGAUUCCCAAAUUGUUGUUGUGCUAAAGUUCCAAUCCUCAUUCUUUUUUAUAUUGAUAAUUUGUAUUUUCCUGUUUUUAAGUUUGCUGAAUCUCUCCUCUGAUUGCAUGUCUUCUGAAUCCCUUUAUUGUAUUCAUAUUUUGUUUCCAUUACUGUAAAUUUUGAUCUAGAAUGUUUUUUGUUCUUUUUAGAAAUCAUUUUAUCUCUUUAUUUCUAUCCUCAUUUUGCUCAUACAUCUUUUUCCUUUGUUCAUGUCUUUAGCUUUUUAAGCAUCUUUAA
This 2294-nucleotide long non-coding RNA is filed under the name Homo sapiens (human). Its description in RNAcentral is "HSALNT0258702". The record is from RNAcentral. Lineage: Eukaryota; Metazoa; Chordata; Mammalia; Primates; Hominidae.